Molecule: ribosomal RNA, 423 nt
Filed under: uncultured bacterium
Lineage: Bacteria
Description: partial 16S ribosomal RNA
Rfam family: Bacterial small subunit ribosomal RNA
Source: RNAcentral
GAAUUUUGGACAAUGGGGGAAACCCUGAUCCAGCCAUGCCGCGUGUGUGAAGAAGGUCUUCGGAUUGUAAAGCACUUUAAGUUGGGAGGAAGGGCUUUAGGUUAAUACCCUGAAGUUUUGACGUUACCAACAGAAUAAGCACCGGCUAACUCUGUGCCAGCAGCCGCGGUAAUACAAAGGGUGCAAGCGUUAAUCGGAAUUACUGGGCGUAAAGCGCGCGUAGGUGGUUCAGUAAGAUGGGUGUGAAAUCCCCGGGCUUAACCUCGGAACUGCAUUCUUAACUGCCGGGCUAGAGUAUGUCAGAGGGGGGUAGAAUUCCACGUGUAGCAGUGAAAUGCGUAGAUAUAGGAUGGAACACCAGUGGCGAAGGCGACUACCUGGACUGAUACUGACACUGAGGUGCGAAAGCGUGGGGAGCAAACA